UAGGGAAUCUUCGGCAAUGGGGGGAACCCUGACCGAGCAACGCCGCGUGAGUGAAGAAGGUUUUCGGAUCGUAAAGCUCUGUUGUUAAGGAAGAACGAGUGUGAGAAUGGAAAGUUCAUGCUGUGACGGUACUUAACCAGAAAGGGACGGCUAACUACGUGCCAGCAGCCGCGGUAAUACGUAGGUCCCGAGCGUUGUCCGAAUUUAUUGGGCGUAAAGCGAGCGCAGGCGGUUAGAAAAGUCUGAAGUGAAAGGCAGUGGCUCAACCAUUGUAGGCUUUGGAAACUGUUUAACUUGAGUGCAGAAGGGGAGGGUGGACUUCCAUGUGUAGCGGUGAAAUGCGUAGAUAUAUGGAGGAACACCGGUGGCGAAAGCGGCUCUCUGGUCUGUAACUGACGCUGAGGCUCGAAAGCGUGGGGAGCGAACAGG
This 429-nucleotide ribosomal RNA is filed under the name Verrucomicrobiota bacterium. Its description in RNAcentral is "Verrucomicrobia bacterium partial 16S ribosomal RNA". It matches the Rfam family "Bacterial small subunit ribosomal RNA", at positions 355 to 776 of the family's 1533-position model. The record is from RNAcentral. Lineage: Bacteria; Pseudomonadati; Verrucomicrobiota.